UACGGGGGGGGCAAGCGUUGUUCGGAAUUACUGGGCGUAAAGGGCUCGUAGGCGGCCAACUAAGUCCGACGUGAAAUCCCAAGGCUUAACCUUGGAACUGCGUCGGAUACUGGAUGGCUUGAAUUCGGGAGAGGGAUGCAGAAUUCCAGGUGUAGCGGUGAAAUGCGUAGAUAUCUGGAGGAACACCGAUGGCGAAGGCAGCUCGCUGGGACGGUACUGACGCUGAGGCGCGAAAGCGUGGGGAGCAAACAGG
This 253-nucleotide ribosomal RNA is filed under the name uncultured bacterium. Its description in RNAcentral is "partial 16S ribosomal RNA". It matches the Rfam family "Bacterial small subunit ribosomal RNA", at positions 524 to 776 of the family's 1533-position model. The record is from RNAcentral.